Molecule: unclassified non-coding RNA, 954 nt
Filed under: Hevea brasiliensis (rubber tree)
Lineage: Eukaryota; Viridiplantae; Streptophyta; Magnoliopsida; Malpighiales; Euphorbiaceae
Source: RNAcentral
CACAACCUUCAAAUUCUGAUAAUGUACAACAUAAAGACGAGCAGUUCAAUGCUGUCGUAGGUUCUCUCUUUGGUGCCUCCUUGGAAAAUAUUCUAGGUAUUGCAGCUAAGAUUCCACACUCAAAUGUGGAUGUGGCCUCUGCCACUCAAAUGUGGAUGUGGCCUCUGCCAGCACUAGUCCAACUGCUUUAAAUUGUUUUACCAAUUUGAGAUUGAGAAUUAGGGAUAGUUCUUCACUUGCUGGGGACAACUCAGCGGUUCCAAAAUGUCCUGAUAUGCAUAGAAGAGCCAAUGCUGACAUAGAUCACAUUAAUUUACCAGCAUUACCCCUGUUUUCUUCGCAUAAUUCAAGCAUUCCAGGAUCCUCCACUAAUUGUGAUUUAUCCAUAGCACAACUAGACUCCCAUUCAGGCAGAAACCAUUCACAAUCGUGGAAGAAGAAACGCCAGCAAAGAUGCCUCAAUACCAAAUCUCAGUCAGGAUCGCUAAAGAGACAGAAUUCACUCCUUAAUACUGAAAAACAGGUACUUUCUACUUCAAAUGAGAUGAAUCAGAUUAGACAUUAAACAUGAUGCUGUUAUACACCAGCAUAACAUUCAGCAACAACUGCCUAGUGGAGACUAUGGGCAAUUGCAAAGUCAUUCUCCAGCACUAGUUGCAUUGGUUCAGCAGCAUACAUUAGAAAAUCAAAAGCAGCAAAAAUUUUUACAGUCAGUUCCCGAGUUACGAGGAGUUGACUUGAAGAAGCAGAGGCAACAACAAAUGAGGGAAUACCUCCAACAGUUGGCAGAUCAGCAAGUACAUUGUAUGCACCCUUUCAAUGGUAAUGUAUGUUCACGCCAGCUGACACAGUACAUGUAUCAUUUGCAGCAUCGACAACCUGACAAUAGUAUUGCUUACUGGAGGGAGUUUGUGGCAGACUAUUAUGAUUCUUGUGCCAAGAAAAGGUGGUGUU